Molecule: non-coding RNA, 73 nt
Organism: Potamilus streckersoni
Lineage: Eukaryota; Metazoa; Mollusca; Bivalvia; Unionida; Unionidae
Source: the annotation of a GenBank genome assembly
AGUUCGGUGGCCUAGUGGUUUACAGCGUCCGCCUUGGAUACGGAGGUCGUGGGUUCGAACCCAGGCUGAGUCA